This is a non-coding RNA of Bos taurus (domestic cattle), 72 nucleotides long. The record is from Rfam. Lineage: Eukaryota; Metazoa; Chordata; Mammalia; Artiodactyla; Bovidae.
UCCCUGGUGGCUCAGAGGUUAAAGCGUCUGCCUGGAAUACGGAAGACCCGGGUUCGAUCCCUGGGUCGGGAA